GUCCCAGUAGCAUAGUGGUUAGUGCACAACCCCGGAUAGGUUAAGACGCGGUUCGAAUCCCGCUUGAGAUG
This 71-nucleotide transfer RNA is filed under the name Nippostrongylus brasiliensis. It matches the Rfam family "tRNA". From Rfam's summary of the family: Transfer RNA (tRNA) molecules are approximately 80 nucleotides in length. Their secondary structure includes four short double-helical elements and three loops (D, anti-codon, and T loops). Further hydrogen bonds mediate the characteristic L-shaped molecular structure. tRNAs have two regions of fundamental functional importance: the anti-codon, which is responsible for specific mRNA codon recognition, and the 3' end, to which the tRNAs corresponding amino acid is attached (by aminoacyl-tRNA synthetases). tRNAs cope with the degeneracy of the genetic code in two manners: having more than one tRNA (with a specific anti-codon) for a particular amino acid; and 'wobble' base-pairing, i.e. permitting non-standard base-pairing at the 3rd anti-codon position. Lineage: Eukaryota; Metazoa; Nematoda; Chromadorea; Rhabditida; Heligmosomidae. The record is from Rfam by way of RNAcentral.